This 750-nucleotide ribosomal RNA is filed under the name uncultured bacterium. RNAcentral describes it as "bacterial SSU rRNA". It matches the Rfam family "Bacterial small subunit ribosomal RNA", at positions 43 to 783 of the family's 1533-position model. The record is from RNAcentral.
CAGGCCUAACACAUGCAAGUCGAGCGGACCAUUCCUUCGGGGAUGGUUAGCGGCGGACGGGUGAGUAACACGUAGGCAACCUGCCUGUAAGAUCGGGAUAACUACCGGAAACGGUAGCUAAGACCGGAUAGCUGGUUUCUCCGCAUGGGGGAAUCAUGAAACACGGGGCAACCUGUGGCUUACGGAUGGGCCUGCGGCGCAUUAGCUAGUUGGUGGGGUAACGGCCCACCAAGGCGACGAUGCGUAGCCGACCUGAGAGGGUGAUCGGCCACACUGGGACUGAGACACGGCCCAGACUCCUACGGGAGGCAGCAGUAGGGAAUCUUCCGCAAUGGGCGCAAGCCUGACGGAGCAACGCCGCGUGAGUGAUGAAGGUUUUCGGAUCGUAAAGCUCUGUUGCCAAGGAAGAACGCCUCGGAGAGUAACUGCUCUGAGGGUGACGGUACUUGAGAAGAAAGCCCCGGCUAACUACGUGCCAGCAGCCGCGGUAAUACGUAGGGGGCAAGCGUUGUCCGGAAUUAUUGGGCGUAAAGCGCGCGCAGGCGGUCUUUUAAGUUUGGUGUUUAAGCCCGGGGCUCAACCCCGGUUCGCACUGAAAACUGGGAGACUUGAGUGCAGGAGAGGAAAGCGGAAUUCCACGCGUAGCGGUGAAAUGCGUAGAGAUGUGGAGGAACACCAGUGGCGAAGGCGGCUUUCUGGACUGUAACUGACGCUGAGGCGCGAAAGCGUGGGGAGCAAACAGGAUUAGAU